Non-coding RNA from Poecilia latipinna (sailfin molly), 1946 nucleotides. NCBI's taxonomy places the organism in Eukaryota, Metazoa, Chordata, Actinopteri, Cyprinodontiformes, Poeciliidae. The record is from the annotation of a RefSeq genome assembly.
AAGAAAUGUAAGGAAAGGCAGCAGCGGGUCGGACAGACUGAGCAUGCUCCCCUCUGCACCUCCUGGAGGACAGCAGCUCUGGCCCUUUUGGUCUGCCUGCACACUUUGAUGUCAAGAUGUUGCCAAAAUGUAUCGAAACCUAAGAAUAUUGUCAUUUGUUGGUUUUUGGAAUCAGAUUCUUUUGGCAGGUACCUCCAGAUGCUCUUCUUCAGUUCGAAACACUUCCUGUAUCGGUCAUGUGACUUUCUGAUAGCAAUACUGCACUGAUAUGGGGCUUCGCUCUAUGCAUGCACUGAUGCAUCGGUGUUGCCGACCAAUCACUAUUAGAAACUCUUAGGUUGUUGUUAGCAGUUAGCUACCGUUAGCAUGGCUAGCUCAGGAACUAAAUCUUUGGUUCUACAUCAUCAGGUUCUUCCUUUGGACAUGAGGAAUAUUUUCCUUCCUGAAUCCGCUGAGAUGAAGAAUAAAACAUGAAGAAAGCAGCUGAAGCUGUGAGGAAGAGGAUGAGGAAGAGGAGGAGGAGCUGAUCUCUUCCUGAUCUCCAAGAGACUCAAACUUCCUCCUUCAGUUCAGUUCAACUCUCCAACAUUAACUCUGCUCAACAUGGACUAUUAUGGUCUGUCUCUGCUCAUCGCCUCUCUGCUAACAGGAGUCGGCUGUGAAGGACCGACUGCGGAUGAAACAGUCAAGACAUCCUUGGAGGACGGCUCCGUCUCCCUGUCCUUUAACUAUCCCAACCUGAGGCCAAGUGAUUUCUUCUUCUGGUACCGACAGAACGCAGCAGAACCUCCAGAGUUCCUGCUCUCCCACUCAGGAACUGGAAACAUAGUCAUGAAUAAAAUCCCAGAACUGAAGAUUGAAGUCAAUAAAACCCGGAUGGAUCUGCUGAUCUCCUCUGCUGCAGUGACAGACUCUGCUGUGUACUACUGCGCUGUGAGGCCCACAGUGACAGGAAACACCAGAACCCUGUACAAAAACCUGCAGUACUCCACAGCAGCCACUAGAGGGCCUCACUCCCUGUUAAACCACUAAAACCUGCAGUACUCCACAGCAGCCACUAGAGGGCCUCACUCCCUGUUAAACCACUAAAACCUGCAGUACUCCACAGCAGCCACUAGAGGGCCUCACUCCCUGUUAAACCACUAAAACCUGCAGUACUCCACAGCAGCCACUAGAGGGCCUCACUCCCUGUUAAUCCUCUGGUUGUUGAGUCUUUGGACUGAAGACAACAGAGACAUGAAGCAGUAAAGAUCAGAGACAGAGCUGCUGAGGAAGCAGAAAACUCUCUGAUUGGUCGAGUUGAAGUGGCCCCGCCCACUGACCUUCAGCUCAUCCAAUCCUCUGCCUUGUUACUCCCUUCGCUGAGAGGUUACCAGUAUUCCUCUGAAGCUGCCUCAAACUGCUCCAGGAUUUGGCUUAGUGACUCAUAUUAAGUAGCUGUAAUGACUUUGUGCCAAGGCAACAUAUUGAUACCUUUCAUAAAUUUGCAGAUCACACAGUAAGACUAUUUUAUUACUGUUGAAGAACUGACAUUACAUUGGGACUGUAGUGACUAUUUGUCCCAAAACUUAAAUUCAAAAAACUCAAAACUCAAAGGUGACCAAAACAAAAGUGAAUCCAACUGAAAUAGUCACCUGAUGCACCGUGGAUUCUGGUUUACACAGCACAAAGGAUCAAAACGUCCUUUGUGUUUUGGUCACAAAGGACGUUCUGUCCUUUGUGAAGGAUUCUGCUUCUGCUCCUAUUCCUGUUCUCUGACUGACGACUAGAGUCUGAUGUGACUGAUUCUAUAGGCUGGUAAAAAACCUUGUGACCACCACCUGCAUAAUAAGCUGCCUAAGAGACCCGCCUAUUUAUACCGUGAAAUACCCACAUCCCAACCUGAAAUUAAUUAACUAAUUAAGUGAAUUCCUAAUCAAAGAACUUAUUCUAAACAACAAGUCAAA